Molecule: ribosomal RNA, 484 nt
Filed under: uncultured bacterium
Lineage: Bacteria
Description: partial 16S ribosomal RNA
Rfam family: Bacterial small subunit ribosomal RNA
Source: RNAcentral
AUUGAACGCUGGCGGCAGGCCUAACACAUGCAAGUCGAGCGGAUGAAGGGAGCUUGCUCCUGGAUUCAGCGGCGGACGGGUGAGUAAUGCCUAGGAAUCUGCCUGGUAGUGGGGGAUAACGCCCGGAAACGGGCGCUAAUACCGCAUACGUCCUGAGGGAGAAAGUGGGGGAUCCUCGGACCUCACGCUAUCAGAUGAGCCUAGGUCGGAUUAGCUAGUUGGUGGGGUAAAGGCCUACCAAGGCGACGAUCCGUAACUGGUCUGAGAGGAUGAUCAGUCAGAAUGGAAGUAGAUAACGGAACGGACAACUGCGGGAGGCAGCCGUGGGGAAUAUGGGACAACGGUCGGAAGCUUGAUACAGACAUGACGUGGGUGAGAAGAGGAACUUCUGAUUGUAAUGAUGUUUGAGCUGGAAGAAAGGGCAGAAAGUUAAUACCUUGCUGUCUUGACGCUACCGACAGAAUAAGCACCGGCUAACUACGUG